RNAcentral lists this ribosomal RNA (495 nucleotides) under uncultured bacterium. RNAcentral describes it as "partial 16S ribosomal RNA". It matches the Rfam family "Bacterial small subunit ribosomal RNA", at positions 28 to 507 of the family's 1533-position model. The record is from RNAcentral.
GACGAACGCUGGCGGCGUGCCUAAUACAUGCAAGUAGAACGCUGAAGGAGGAGCUUGCUCUUCUGGAUGAGUUGCGAACGGGUGAGUAACGCGUAGGUAACCUGCCUGGUAGCGGGGGAUAACUAUUGGAAACGAUAGCUAAUACCGCAUAAAAUUGAUUAUUGCAUGAUAGUCAAUUAAAAGGUGCAAUUGCAUCACUACCAGAUGGACCUGCGUUGUAUUAGCUAGUUGGUGAGGUAACGGCUCACCAAGGCAACGAUACAUAGCCGACCUGAGGGGGUGAUCGGCCACACUGGGACUGAGACACGGCCCAGACUCCUACGGGAGGCAGCAGUAGGGAAUCUUCGGCAAUGGACGGAAGUCUGACCGAGCAACGCCGCGUGAGUGAAGAAGGUUUUCGGAUCGUAAAGCUCUGUUGUAAGAGAAGAACGAGUGUGAGAGUGGAAAGUUCACACUGUGACGGUAUCUUACCAGAAAGGGACGGCUAACUACGUG